This is a non-coding RNA of Paramuricea clavata, 254 nucleotides long. The record is from the annotation of a GenBank genome assembly. NCBI's taxonomy places the organism in Eukaryota, Metazoa, Cnidaria, Anthozoa, Malacalcyonacea, Plexauridae.
UAGUUAAACAAUGCUCUCUAUUUUACCAUAUGUUUAAUAUGCAUGUUAAUUCAAUUUUUAGUAUUGUUCAAUAUGGCAUCUUUACGAAGUAAAUUUGAGGAACAUUUGACGUGCUCUGUUUGUUUGGAACAAUUAAAAGACCCCAAGGUUUUACCAUGUUUGCAUUCCUUCUGUCAUGAGUGUAUUGUAAAUCUUGCAAAGAAAGGCAAGUCAAAUCAUAUCAACUGUCCUGAAUGUAGGAAAGUUGUAGAGGU